RNAcentral lists this non-coding RNA (98 nucleotides) under Clostridium amazonitimonense. RNAcentral's name for it is "Glycine riboswitch". It matches the Rfam family "Glycine riboswitch aptamer", at positions 6 to 89 of the family's 94-position model. From Rfam's summary of the family: This family represents the bacterial glycine riboswitch. Glycine riboswitches usually consist of two metabolite-binding aptamers domains with similar structures in tandem. The record is from RNAcentral. Lineage: Bacteria; Bacillati; Bacillota; Clostridia; Eubacteriales; Clostridiaceae.
UAUUUUCGGGAGAUAACCUUUAUGUUUAGAAGGUAGCCGAAGGAACAAGUAAUAUAGCCCAUAUAUUAUGAAUCUCUCAGGCAAAAGAACCGAAAGUU